Molecule: ribosomal RNA, 497 nt
Filed under: uncultured bacterium
Lineage: Bacteria
Description: partial 16S ribosomal RNA
Rfam family: Bacterial small subunit ribosomal RNA
Source: RNAcentral
GAUGAACGCUGGCGGCGUGCCUAAUACAUGCAAGUCGAGCGAACAGACGAUGCGCUUGCUCCUCUCACGUUAGCGGCGGACGUGUGAGUAACACGUGUAUAACCUACCUAUCAGUCUGGUAUCUCUACGGGACUCCGGCGCUAAUACCGGAUAAUAUCUUGCACCACAUGGUUCAAUAGUGAAAGUCGGUUUUUCUGUCUCUUAUCGAUGGAUCCGCGCCGCAUUAGCUAGUUGGUAAGUUAACUGCUUACCAAGGCUACGAUGCGUAGCCGACCUGAGAGGGUGAUAGGCCACACUGGAGCGGAGCCACGGACAAGACGACUAAGGGAGGCAGCAGUAGGGAAUGGGCCGCAAUAGGCGGAAGCAUGACGGAGCAAGGCCGCGUGAGAGAUGAAGGUCUUCGGAUCGUAAAAAUCGGUUAUGAGGGAAGAACAAAUGUGUAAGUAAAUAUGCACGGCGUGACGGUAACUAAUCAGAAAGCCACGGCUAACUACGUG